CCCCUCUCUGCACACAGAGGACAGGGUUUGGGCUCGACGGGUGAUCUGUGGAGACCUGGAGAUGCUCCUGAGUCAUGCUCGGAAUGGGCGAAGGUGAAAUUCCUCUCGGAGGUAAAAAUACCACUAGGGACACGUAGCUGCAGGUGAAAGUUCACCCUGCCACCCACCCAUCACCUACGGAUCCUCCUCCCAAAGACGGAACGGAACAAAAACAAAGGGCAAGACAGACGCCACGACUGAAUGACGCUACUGUAGCAGCUCAGAGGCAGCGGUGUGUGGAGCCUGCCCCCUCGGGUCCAUCACAGAGGCUCGGGCUCCCAUGGCAACGCAAACUGUGGCCAAAGCUGAGGGUGGACAUGUGGAGAUUUCAUCGCAGAUUACAGGAAGGGCCAUGAGGGGCUCAUCGUGUUGAAAGGAGCCAAGCGAUAAUCACACAUGUGCAUCACUUGAAUUACACUGAAGCAAAUGACUCCGGAUGAAUAUCAGAGCACAAAAAAAAUAAUAACACAGACGGCAAAUCUG
This is a non-coding RNA of Electrophorus electricus (electric eel), 522 nucleotides long. NCBI's taxonomy places the organism in Eukaryota, Metazoa, Chordata, Actinopteri, Gymnotiformes, Gymnotidae. The record is from RefSeq and is a predicted model, not a curated record.